CCUACGGGUGGCAGCAGUGGGGAAUAUUGCACAAUGGGGGAAACCCUGAUGCAGCGACGCCGCGUGAGUGAAGAAGUAUUUCGGUAUGUAAAGCUCUAUCAGCAGGGAAGAAAAUGACGGUGCCUGACUAAGAAGCCCCGGCUAACUACGUGCCAGCAGCCGCGGUAAUACGUAGGGGCAAGCGUUAUCCGGAUUUACUGGGUGUAAAGGGAGCGUAGACGGCGGAACAAGUCAGAAGUGAAAACCCGGGGCGCAACCCUGGGAGUGCUUUUGAAACUGUUUGGCUGGAGUGCAGGAGAGGUAAGCGGAAUUACUAGUGUAGCGGUGCAAUGCGUAGAUAUUAGGAGGAACACCAGUGGCGAAGGCGGCUUACUGGACUGUAACUGACGUUGAGGCUCGAAAGCGUGGGGAGCAAACAGGAUUAGAUACCCGGGUAGUC
Molecule: ribosomal RNA, 439 nt
Filed under: uncultured bacterium
Lineage: Bacteria
Description: partial 16S ribosomal RNA
Rfam family: Bacterial small subunit ribosomal RNA
Source: RNAcentral